UGCCAGCCGCCGCGGUAAGACAGAGGGUGCAAACGUUGCUCGGAAUUACUGGGCGUAAAGCGCGUGUAGGCGGACUCGAAAGUCGGUUGUGAAAUCCCUGGGCUCAACCCAGGAACUGCAUCCGAAACUUCGGGUCUUGAGUAGUGGAGAGGGAAGCGGAAUUCCAGGUGUAGAGGUGAAAUUCGUAGAUAUCGAGAAGAACACCAGCGGCGAAGGCGAUCUUCUGGUCCAUAACUGACGCUGAGUGUACGAAAGCAGGGGGAGCGAACAGGAUUAGAUA
Molecule: ribosomal RNA, 280 nt
Filed under: uncultured bacterium
Lineage: Bacteria
Description: partial 16S ribosomal RNA
Rfam family: Bacterial small subunit ribosomal RNA
Source: RNAcentral